GGGAUUGUGGCUCAGUGGUCGAGUGCUUGCCUGGAAUGUAUGAAGUGCUGGGUUUGAUUCUCAGCACCA
Molecule: transfer RNA, 69 nt
Filed under: Ictidomys tridecemlineatus (thirteen-lined ground squirrel)
Lineage: Eukaryota; Metazoa; Chordata; Mammalia; Rodentia; Sciuridae
Description: Spermophilus tridecemlineatus (thirteen-lined ground squirrel) tRNA
Rfam family: tRNA
About the family: Transfer RNA (tRNA) molecules are approximately 80 nucleotides in length.
Source: Rfam by way of RNAcentral